CUUCUAGAAUUUAUUGGAAGUCGGGCCUGUCCACUGAUAUUUUAUUGAAGGGCCGCGGUAUUUUGACCGUGCAAAGGUAGCAUAAUCAUUAGUCUUUUAAUUGAAGGCUGGAAUGAAUGGUUUGACGAAAUAAUAUCUGUCUCUAAUAUAAAUGUAUUGAAUUUUACUUUUGAGUUAAAAGGCUUAAAUGUUAAUAAGGGACGAGAAGACCCUAUAGAUCUUUAUAAUAUGUUUUAUAUAAUUUAUUUUGGAUGUAUAAUUUAAUAUAUAAUUUAUAUUAUUUUAUUGGGGUGAUAUGAGAAUAUAUUAACUUCUUAUUUUUUUACUUUGAUAGAAGAUUAUAUAAUCCUUUAGUAUGGAAUUAAGAUUAAGAUACCUUAGGGAUAACAGCGUAAUCUUGUUGGAGAGUUCUUAUUGAUAAUAAGGAUUGCGACCUCGAUGUUGGAUUAAGGAAAUAUAUUGAUGUAGAUGUUAAUAUUAUUGGUCUGUUC
This 491-nucleotide ribosomal RNA is filed under the name Agnotecous robustus. RNAcentral's name for it is "partial 16S ribosomal RNA". It matches the Rfam family "Bacterial large subunit ribosomal RNA", at positions 1833 to 2582 of the family's 2925-position model. The record is from RNAcentral. Lineage: Eukaryota; Metazoa; Arthropoda; Insecta; Orthoptera; Gryllidae.